CACUGCAGCGCCCACCUGUGGCCACCGGGUAAAAGGAAAGCAGCGUAAUGUACUGUCAGGUGGAGCCAGUGGCCGUGACCGAGGUGGCGAAGUGUCUGUCUGUCGCGCUGUGUCAUUAAUGUUUAACACUAAGGGACUGGAGUCACCGGACAUAUGAAAAGUCAUGUGAGAAACUGCACUUUACUGAACUGAAGAAAGACAACAUUCACAUCAGACAACGGGAGAGAUGGACAUGAAACAUCUAACGUGUUAGUUUAAAUGAAGACGCUUUGUUGUUUAAGGAGAUACACUUAGAACAAACUACACAGGUCAGAGUUCACAAAGGGAGGAGCCUCACACUGCCCUGCAUGAACACAACACAUGCAGGUGAGAUAACACACACAAAAAAAGACUACCUUUUUGGAAUGUCCCCGUACACCUGUUAUACUGGUGUGUGUAGGAGUGGUCCACUACUGGCAGACCCCAUUCAGUCAGGUCCUGAACAGCAGUCUUCAUGCCAACCAGAAAGAUGUGGUUACUAUGCAACAAGAUGGUAGCCUGCAGAUCAACAUUGCCUCUCCUCACCACAGCAGCCUGUACUACUGCCUCCUACUGACCGGAGGACAAACUACACUCAUCCUACCUGCUGACUGCCUGCAGUCGACAGGACCGUGUGGUCGAACCCAGGCGGGUGGUCAGGAGUGUUCUGGGUGGUCAUGGAGAGGGAUGUUGCCAUGGUUUCUGACGGUGUGUUUGUGGAGGCGGUGACGGCAUCAGUAGUGGUGACGUUCCUGGUGGAGUCCAGCUCUGGAGCUCUAAGCAGGAGUCUACUGGACAGGUGCAUGACUUUAUCUACCUAUAUUAAAUAUUUAUUAAACUGUUCAGUAUUUUACUUCAUGUUAGAUGGUUCCUCAUCCUGAAAGUAGAAUAUAGGCCAGGAGAAACUAAAUCAUG
This 933-nucleotide long non-coding RNA is filed under the name Salmo trutta (river trout). RNAcentral's name for it is "lncRNA (ENSSTUG00000016946.1)". The record is from RNAcentral. Lineage: Eukaryota; Metazoa; Chordata; Actinopteri; Salmoniformes; Salmonidae.